Lycium ferocissimum is the source of this 527-nucleotide long non-coding RNA. RefSeq lists it as uncharacterized. The record is from RefSeq and is a predicted model, not a curated record. NCBI's taxonomy places the organism in Eukaryota, Viridiplantae, Streptophyta, Magnoliopsida, Solanales, Solanaceae. The transcript is spliced from 3 exons.
AUAAUCUUUCACAACCUUUCCAUAACAUCAAGAGAGAAUAUCAACAUCAAAAUCUCAAAGAAAAUUCAUGGGAGAUAAUUGUUCUUAUUUCUCUUCAAGGUGGUGGUGAACUUGAUCUUGGAAAGGGGUGAAUGAAGUGGAGUUCUUCCACUAUAAGAGUUGCAUGCUUGGAAGAAUAAACGUUGAACAACUAAGGCGACCGGAAGGUAGACAGGUAGAUGGAUCUGAUCCAUAGGAGCUUCAACAGCGGAAUCUCAGGAGCGCUCCACUUACUUCGGAGCUGCAGUCUAUUGAUAUCGGUCUUCAUGGUCACUUGUAAUCUAUGUAGAAGCUCGUAGGCAUAUGUGUAUAGUUAGACGUUUCAUAACCCUACCAGUUCAUAUUGUUGUAACAUUUUAGUAGCCUUGACGGCUAGUGAUGAUGGACACAAUUGUUGAAGAUUAUAUAGAGAUGUGCCGUUAUGUUGUGAUAUAUGUCCUUACCGAUUAUGACAGCCGUAAGCUAUCUUUAUGGUCUACCUAGAAAUG